This 2371-nucleotide small RNA is filed under the name Pan troglodytes (chimpanzee). RNAcentral describes it as "retained intron". Lineage: Eukaryota; Metazoa; Chordata; Mammalia; Primates; Hominidae. The record is from RNAcentral.
GGUUGAGACAUGAGGCAAGGAAUGUAGUGGCUCAAGAGAGCCUCCCUCCUUGGCCUCCCAAAGUGUUGGGAUAACAAGGAUAACAGGAGUGAGCCGCCAUGCCUGGCUGAGCCAGUAAUUUUUACUCUCUUAAAAACUAGGUUAUUCCUAAUGAUUCUGCCUUUGAGUUGAAAUUACUGUGUGUGUGUGCGUGUGCACACGUGCAUGCAUCCAAGUCUUUUUAUAAAUGUGCUGCUCCCUGUUUUUAGUUUAUAAGAGAACAUUGCUAAUACUUCUUACUGACUUUCUUGUAUUUCCUUACUAGUUUUUCCAGAAAGGAGGAGUCAAGGAAGCCCUUAGUGAACGAGAACUCUUCAAUGCUGUUUCAGGCUUAAACAUCACAGCAGAUAAUGAAGCUGAUUUUUUAGCUGAGAUAGAAGCUUUGGAGAAAAUGAAUGAAGAUCACGUUCAGAAGAAUGGAAGGAAAGCUGCUUCAUUUUUGAAAGAUGAUGGAGACCCACCACUACUAUAUGAUGAAUAGCACUAAUAUCCACUGCUUCAGUGUUAACACAGCAGUGAUUGUCAGCUGCCAAUAGCAAAUGAAGUUAUGGGUGACUUGAAAUACCAAAACAUGAGGAGUGGGCAAUGGUGCUUCUGUGCUUUUCCCCCUUGUAACCCAUGUGCCAGAUGUGUGGAAUUUUUAGCUCAGCAUUGAGAGAAUAAAAUGUCACUACCUCUCAUCUUAUGAACAGGAUAAUAUAAUUCUUUAACAGCUAUAGGUUAUCUGGCUGAAGUAGACCUAAUUUUAUGUGACUUGUGGUGUAAAAUGUCUUGAUGAUAAUUUUUGAAACUUGGGUAACACUUCCAAAUAUGGGAGGAAAGGACAGAUGUGUUUACAAGGGAGGAUUUUACAACAUACUUGCUUUAUUCACCUCCCUGUUUUGUGUUGCGUCUUUCCUUGAAUAUUUUAUUGGCCCAGAGUUAGCCUUUCUCAAUUAUGUUUCCAGACUGUGGCCAUGAUUCUAAAGGAAAAUGUGUGCUCUUUAGUGGGUAGAACAAAUGGAAAUUUGGUUUCAGAAUGGCUGACAGAAAUCGACAUAAGUCAUGUAAUUUUUGUUGAUAUAUCAUGAAAAUGAACAGAAUUCUUUUUCCAUACUUACAUCUAAGAAAAGGCAUCAUAGGUUUCUGAGAGAGAUAACUAUAUAACAGCUUUUUAAUUAUCCAGUCAACUUUCAGCUUUUCUACAUUUAGGUAAAAUGGUUAGGAUAUAACUCAUGGUGUGGCUAAUCUACAUUUAUCAAUAAAAUGUAAAUUAUCUGAAAGGACAGAAUAUAAGAUUUAACCAUGUUUGAUGUAUUUUAAUUUAGUUAAUGAAGCAAAAUUCAGUUUAUAUUUCACUAGAACUGUGUACUUGAUUGAUUUUCAGAGAAAUAUCACAAAUUAGAAAUAUUAAAUCUAAGGAUGAAAGGUAUAUAUAAAACAAUUUGGGGGCCAGGCACGAUGGCUCAAACCUGUAAUCCCAGCACUUUGGGAGGCCAAGGCGGGUGGAUCACUUGAGGUCAGGAGUUCAAGACCAGCCUUGGCAAAAUGGCGAAACCCUGUCUCUACUAAAAAUACAAAAAUUAGCCGGGUGUGGUGGCACUUCUCUGUAAUCUCAGCUUCUCAGGAGGCUGAGACAGGAGAAUCGCCUGAACCUGGGAGGCGGAGGUUGCAGUGAGCUGAGAUCAUGCCACUGCACUCCAGCCUGGGUGACAGAGGGGAAACUCCGUCUCCAGGAAAAAAAAAAAACACCAAUUUGGAUACCAAAUUAAUCAACUAAUUUGAGCUAUCUGGCCUUACUCUUAGUAGUUUUUAGUACGUGCUGGACACCACUUUUAAAAAGCAAUCACUGUGCUAGAAAAGUAUAUUGGCUUUGUUAGGAUUAAAGUUCAUUAACUUCAAUGUAAUCAUGCCUCCUAUUACUGAAGUCAGAUUGGAACCACUAAAGAUCCAAACUUUCUGUCUGGUAAUAGAAAGUAAAAAUCUAGACAUCAUUUACAUUUGAGAAAGCUGUUUUUAACAUUAUUUUAAAAUGCCAAAUAUGUUCUUUCUAGAAAAAUAUUUGUUUUUGUUGGAUAGCUUUUAAUUACAUUUCAGAGAGGUGUAAUUUUGGGUAGAUGCUCAUUACAUUUUUGAAAGGUUUACUAUUCCAAAAUAAAGAUUUAGAUGACUGGUGAUACUGGCUUUACAGAAAUUUCAGAGAACUAAUUUUUAAAAUCUUUAGCAUUUAAAACUUUUUUUGUUUUGUUUUCUGACAUAUUCUGACAAAGAGCAGCAAACCACUGCUGUGUGGCAUUCUUGGAGUGUGCUGUGAAUGUGCUUUUUAAGAAAUUAAAAAGAGAUCAUUUUAAAA